Molecule: ribosomal RNA, 299 nt
Filed under: Thraustochytriidae sp.
Lineage: Eukaryota; Bigyra; Thraustochytrida; Thraustochytriidae
Description: Thraustochytriaceae sp. partial small subunit ribosomal RNA
Rfam family: Eukaryotic small subunit ribosomal RNA
Source: RNAcentral
CGAUUUGUCUGGUUAAUUCCGUUAACGAACGAGACAACAGCCUACUAAAUAGUACGUGUUAUGGUAACAUAGUAUGAGACUUCUUAGAGGGACAUUUCGGGUUUACCGAAAGGAGGUUUGUGGCAAUAACAGGUCUGUCAUGCCCUUAGAUGUUCUGGACCGCACGCGCGCUACACUGACGACUUCAACAAGUUUUUUGGCAUUGCCAAAUUUCCUGGGCCGGAAGGUCUGGGUAAUCUUUUAAAAGGUCGUCGUGAUGGGGCUAGAUUCUUGCAAUUAUUAAUCUCCAACGAGGAACC